UGAACGCUGGCGGCGUGCCUAAUACAUGCAAGUCGAGCGAACAGACGAGGAGCUUGCUCCUCUGACGUUAGCGGCGGACGGGUGAGUAACACGUGGAUAACCUACCUAUAAGACUGGGAUAACUUCGGGAAACCGGAGCUAAUACCGGAUAAUAUAUUGAACCGCAUGGUUCAAUAGUGAAAGACGGUUUUGCUGUCACUUAUAGAUGGAUCCGCGCCGCAUUAGCUAGUUGGUAAGGUAACGGCUUACCAAGGCGACGAUGCGUAGCCGACCUGAGAGGGUGAUCGGCCACACUGGAACUGAGACACGGUCCAGACUCCUACGGGAGGCAGCAGUAGGGAAUCUUCCGCAAUGGGCGAAAGCCUGACGGGGCAACGCCGCGUGAGUGAUGAAGGUCUUCGGAUCGUAAAACUCUGUUAUUAGGGAAGAACAAAUGUGUAAGUAACUAUGCACGUCUUGACGGUACCUAAUCAGAAAGCCACGGCUAACUACGUG
Molecule: ribosomal RNA, 495 nt
Filed under: uncultured bacterium
Lineage: Bacteria
Description: partial 16S ribosomal RNA
Rfam family: Bacterial small subunit ribosomal RNA
Source: RNAcentral